CAGCACUGUCAUUCUUAUAAAUGAUUUUCAUGCACUGUGAUGGCAGAGACACCUGGCUCCAAGGCCAUUCCCAGAUUCCUUCUGAGAAAAGUACUCAAACUAGCAAGUCAGAAGGUUCCUGAAUAAUAUUACAAGGUUACUGAUGAGUUAUCUGGAUUUUAUCUAACACAUGUCACCAUUGGAAAGAGAUCAGCAGCAGCCUGCAGUUCUGAUUCACAAGCAUGGUGAUACCAAAUCUAAGCCUACUGUCGCUUAGAUAUGACUUCUGGCUAUAUUCUAUCUAGCCUUAAAGGCCCAAGUGGAAAGUCAUUACUCCUCGUGCAAUCAGUGAAGAAAGAAAGGCAUCUGGAAGACAUCUGAAUAGGGAGACAAAAGCAUAUUAAUGAAGAAAUUAGAGAUUUCUCCAUUCCAGUCCCUCAGAGAAGUUUCCUCUUACACCUACUAGGACACUGCAACAUCUCAUUUCUAAAUCUCUGUUCCGCACAACGUAUGUGAACCUGUGCACAGCAGCUGCAACCUACUGAUGUCUUAUGGAUGGAAUGUCUUCAGCAACAGACUUUUGAAACAGCUGGCAGAGGAUUUCAGCUAGCAAAGAGGCUGAGCUGGAGAUUUAGGCUAAAGAUUCAUUAUAGUGUUCUUUCAUUACCCAAUAAAUAAUCUUCUUAAGUUAGGUAUUUCUCCUACAGAAAGGCUGUCAAAUGUUUUUAAUCUCUGCUGCUAUGUAUACAAUAGUAUCAAACCAUUUAACCAAUGAGUAUUUUGAGAACACCACUUACAUAGCUCAUGGGCAUCAGUGACAUAGUCCCAUUAACAGAGGAGAGUCCAUAUCUAAGUGUUACUGUCAUCUUUUACUACAUACAGCUGUAGGAUAACAGAAAGUCAGAUAACAUCUGAUGGUAUUAACCCAUAUUUUAUCUGAAUAGUGGCUACAUAUUAUAAAGAGGUCAGUUGUUCUUCCAU
Long non-coding RNA from Gallus gallus (chicken), 960 nucleotides. NCBI's taxonomy places the organism in Eukaryota, Metazoa, Chordata, Aves, Galliformes, Phasianidae. The record is from Ensembl.